RNAcentral lists this ribosomal RNA (262 nucleotides) under uncultured bacterium. Its description in RNAcentral is "partial 16S ribosomal RNA". It matches the Rfam family "Bacterial small subunit ribosomal RNA", at positions 93 to 353 of the family's 1533-position model. The record is from RNAcentral.
AAGUGGCGGACGGGUGAGUAACGCGUGGGUAACCUGCCUUGUACUGGGGGACAACAGUUGGAAACGACUGCUAAUACCGCAUAAGCGCACAGCUUCGCAUGAAGCAGUGUGAAAAACUCCGGUGGUACAAGAUGGACCCGCGUCUGAUUAGCUGGUUGGUGAGGUAACGGCCCACCAAGGCGACGAUCAGUAGCCGGCCUGAGAGGGUGAACGGCCACAUUGGGACUGAGACACGGCCCAAACUCCUACGGGAGGCAGCAUG